Molecule: non-coding RNA, 1271 nt
Organism: Corylus avellana
Lineage: Eukaryota; Viridiplantae; Streptophyta; Magnoliopsida; Fagales; Betulaceae
Source: RefSeq, a predicted model, not a curated record
UUCCCGGUGGGUCCCUUCUCAAAUCCACUGUUUCCACUCAAAAAGCGCUAUGCAAAGCGAAGCCAUACAACCCUCAAACUUGAGAUAGCUCAAACAAAAUCCAGACGAACACAGAGAGUGAGAGAGAGAGAGAGAGAUCAAAAUGGCUGUCUCUACUCUAACCGUUACGACCCCAAAGCUCUAUUCCCUUCAAACCUUCAAUCCCAAGUCCUUCUUCACCACCAAACCCUCUUCUUCUUCUUCACCUUCUUGUUGUUCUGGUUCUUCUCGCGCUUGUUUUUUGAAUGCAGACGAUGCGAAGCUCUCUAUAGCUUCAACUUCUGCAACCAAGAAGCGUGUAUUUGAUAUGGGUAUUGGGCUUUUAGCAGCAUCAGCUCUGGCUAUGUCACCGUUGGAUGCCAAUGCUACCAGAAUCGAGUACUACGCCACUGUGGGAGAGCCUCUGUGUGAACUCAACUUCGUCAAGUCUGGGCUUGGUUACUGUGACGUGUCAGUCGGCCCCGGUGCGCAAGCUCCUUAUGCUGAGCUUAUCGAUGUUCACUACACUGCAAGAUUCGCUGAUGGAACAGUCUUCGACAGUAGCUAUAAACGUGCUAGACCUCUCACUAUGCGUAUUGGUGUGGGCAAGGUCAUCAAGGGAUUGGACCAGGGAAUUUUCGGGGGUGAAGGAGUACCUCCAAUGCAAGUAGGUGGAAAACGUAAGCUUCGGAUUCCUCCAGAAUUAGCGUAUGGGCCAGAACCAGCAGGAUGCUUUUCAGGUGACUGCAAUGUACCUGCCAAUGCAACUCUUCUAUAUGAUAUUAAAUUUGUUGGUAUCUACAGUGGAAAUAGAAAGUGAAGGAAGCCCAAAUUCAUUUGAUAGCAAAUAGAUGGAAAGCCCAUGAAAAUCAAGCUUUGGUUCUCAAAGUUUAAAGCACCGAAGUUUCUAGUAUGGAUCAAUUUGUAUGGCUGAAUCUCAUGGCUGACACUGGUCACCUUUCUCAAAAGUACAAGACGUGCCUAAUAGCUGCCUAUCCCAAAUGCUUGCCGACUGUUUUUUCCUGAAGUAAGACUAGUACCAAGCACUGCUUGCAACUAGAAAUUCCUCUGUCAUUUCAGGCAGUAAUUGAUCACCCUGAUUGGUUUAACAAGUUGAGCUUCUGUCUUUGCUCAUGGCUUGAUACUUGAGCUUAUUGUAUAUGUGAUUUUGAACUAAUAAAGAAAGCAUAUAUUAUUGUGAAUUCUUUUUCCAAACCCUACAAGAUUUUGUUUUCAGAAUUUGAUUUAUGUAG